RNAcentral lists this ribosomal RNA (368 nucleotides) under uncultured organism. RNAcentral's name for it is "bacterial SSU rRNA". It matches the Rfam family "Bacterial small subunit ribosomal RNA", at positions 526 to 896 of the family's 1533-position model. The record is from RNAcentral.
CGAAGGAUCCAAGCGUUAUCCGGAUUUAUUGGGUUUAAAGGGUGCGUAGGCGGAUUGAUAAGUCAGUGGUGAAAGCCUGCAGCUUAACUGCAGAACUGCCAUUGAUACUGUCAAUCUUGAAUGUGGUUGAUGUGGGCGGAAUAUGACAUGUAGCGGUGAAAUGCUUAGAUAUGUCAUAGAACACCGAUUGCGAAGGCAGCUCACAAAGCCAUUAUUGACGCUGAGGCACGAAAGCGUGGGGAUCAAACAGGAUUAGAUACCCUGGUAGUCCACGCUGUAAACUUUGAUCACUCGCUGUUGGCGAUACACUGUCAGCGGCUAAGCGAAAGCGUUAAGUGAUCCACCUGGGGAGUACGAUCGCAAGAUUG